RNAcentral lists this ribosomal RNA (497 nucleotides) under uncultured bacterium. Its description in RNAcentral is "partial 16S ribosomal RNA". It matches the Rfam family "Bacterial small subunit ribosomal RNA", at positions 28 to 507 of the family's 1533-position model. The record is from RNAcentral.
GAUGAACGCUGGCGGCGUGCCUAAUACAUGCAAGUCGAGCGAACAGAUAAGGAGCUUGCUCCUUUGACGUUAGCGGCGGACGGGUGAGUAACACGUGGGUAACCUACCUAUAAGACUGGAAUAACUCCGGGAAACCGGGGCUAAUGCCGGAUAACAUUUAGAACCGCAUGGUUCUAAAGUGAAAGAUGGUUUUGCUAUCACUUAUAGAUGGACCCGCGCCGUAUUAGCUAGUUGGUAAGGUAACGGCUUACCAAGGCAACGAUACGUAGCCGACCUGAGAGGGUGAUCGGCCACACUGGAACUGAGACACGGUCCAGACUCCUACGGGAGGCAGCAGUAGGGAAUCUUCCGCAAUGGGCGAAAGCCUGACGGAGCAACGCCGCGCGAGUGAUGAAGGUCUUCGGAUCGUAAAACUCUGUUAUUAGGGAAGAACAAAUGUGUAAGUAACUGUGCACGUCUUGACGGUACCUAAUCAGAAAGCCACGGCUAACUACGUG